RNAcentral lists this unclassified non-coding RNA (377 nucleotides) under plant metagenome. RNAcentral's name for it is "partial contains 5.8S ribosomal RNA, internal transcribed spacer 2, and large subunit ribosomal RNA". The stretch from base 1 to 104 matches the Rfam family "5.8S ribosomal RNA", at positions 51 to 154 of the family's 154-position model. The record is from RNAcentral.
AAAUGCGAUAAGUAAUGUGAAUUGCAGAAUUCAGUGAAUCAUCGAAUCUUUGAACGUACCUUGCGCUCCUUGGUAUUCCUUGGAGCAUGCCUGUUUGAGUAUCAUGAAAUCUUCAAAGUAAAUCUUUUGUUAACUCAAUUGGUUUCUACUUUGGUAUUGGAGGUCUUUGCAGCUUCACACCUGCUCCUCUUUGUUCAUUAGCUGGAUCUCAGUGUUAUGCUUGGUUCCACUCGGCGUGAUAAGUUAUCUAUCGCUGAGGACACUGUAAAAGGUGGCCAAGGUAAAUGCAGAUGAACCGCUUCUAAUAGUCCAUUGACUUGGACAAUACUUUUAUGAUCUGAUCUCAAAUCAGGUAGGACUACCCGCUGAACUUAAGC